Molecule: long non-coding RNA, 1463 nt
Organism: Oncorhynchus keta (chum salmon)
Lineage: Eukaryota; Metazoa; Chordata; Actinopteri; Salmoniformes; Salmonidae
Exons: 3
Source: RefSeq, a predicted model, not a curated record
GAGGUGGAGGGGUCUAUAUGGGCUGAGAUGUGGAGGGGUCUAUAAGGUUUGGUCUUUCUGUAGGGCUGAGAGGUGGAGGGGUCUAUAAGGUCUGGUCUUUCUGCAGGUCUGAGAUGUGGAGGGGUCUAUAAGGUCUGGUCUUUCUGCAGGUCUGAGAUGUGGAGGGGUCUAUAAGGUCUGAGAGGUGGAGGGGUCUAUAAGGUCUGAGAGGUGGAGGGGUCUAUAUGGUCUGGUCUUUCUGCAGGGCUGAGAUGUGGAGGGGUCUAUAAGGUCUGGUCUUUCUGCAGGGCUGAGAUGUGGAGGGGUCUAUAAGGUCUGAGAGGUGGAGGGGUCUAUAAGGUCUGGUCUUUCUGCAGGGCUGAGAUGUGGAGGGGUCUAUAAGGUCUGAGAGGUGGAGGGGUCUAUAAGGUCUGGUCUUUCUGCAGGGCUGAGAUGUGGAGGGGUCUAUAAGGUCUGAGAGGUGGAGGGGUCUAUAAGGUCUGGUCUUUCUGCAGGGCUGAGAUGUGGAGGGGUCUAUAAGGUCUGGUCUUUCUGCAGGGCUGAGAGGUGGAGGGGUCUAUAAGGUCUGGUCUUUCUGCAGGGCUGAGAUGUGGAGGGGUCUAUAAGGUCUGGUCUUUCUGCAGGGCUGAGAUGUGGAGUGGUCUAUAAGGUCUGGUCUUUCUGCAGGGCUGAGAGGUGGAGGGGUCUAUAAGGUCUGGUCUUUCUGCAGGGCUGAGAGGUGGAGGGGUCUAUAAGGUCUGAGAUGUGGAGGGGUCUAUAUGGUCUGGUCUUUCUGCAGGGCUGAGAGGUGGAGGGGUCUAUAAGGUCUGAGAUGUGGAGGGGUCUAUAUGGUCUGGUCUUUCUGCAGGGCUGAGAUGUGGAGGGGUCUAUAAGGUCUGGUCUUUCUGCAGGGCUGAGAUGUGGAGGGGUCUAUAAGGUCUGAGAGGUGGAGGGGUCUAUAUGGUCUGAGAGGUGGAGGGGUCUAUAAGGUCUGGUCUUUCUGCAGGGCUGAGAGGUGGAGGGGUCUAUAAGGUCUGGUCUUUCUGCAGGGCUGAGAGGUGGAGGGGUCUAUAAGGUCUGGUCUUUCUGCAGGGCUGAGAUGUGGAGGGGUCUAUAAGGUCUGGUCUUUCUGCAGGGCUGAGAGGUGGAGGGGUCUAUAAGGUCUGGUCUUUCUGCAGGGCUGAGAUGUGGAGGGGUCUAUAAGAUCUGGUCUUUCUGCAGGGCUGAGAUGUGGAGGGGUCUAUAAGGGCUGGUCUUUCUGCAGGGCUGAGAGGUGGAGGGGUCUAUAUGGUCUGAGAGGUGGAGGGGUCUAUAAGGUCUGGACUUUCUGCAGGGCUGAGAGGUGGAGGGGUCUAUAAGGUCUGGUCUUUCUGCAGGGCUGAGAGGUGGAGGGGUCUAUAUGGUCUGAGAGGUGGAGGGGUCUAUAAGGUCUGGACUUUCUGCAGGGCUGAGAGGUGGAGGGGUCUAUAAGGUCUGGUCUUUCU